Molecule: microRNA precursor, 119 nt
Filed under: Choloepus hoffmanni (Hoffmann's two-fingered sloth)
Lineage: Eukaryota; Metazoa; Chordata; Mammalia; Pilosa; Megalonychidae
Description: miRNA (ENSCHOG00000015070.1)
Source: RNAcentral
UUAACAAAGACUGUACUGGGGACUGCUGUUUAAAAGGCUGUUAAAUGGUGAUACUCUAUUUUUGAACAUCAGCAGCAUUUAGAAACCUUUUAGAGAACAGUCCUCUUUACCCACUACUA